RNAcentral lists this long non-coding RNA (265 nucleotides) under Bos taurus (domestic cattle). RNAcentral's name for it is "long non-coding RNA NONBTAT022528". Lineage: Eukaryota; Metazoa; Chordata; Mammalia; Artiodactyla; Bovidae. The record is from RNAcentral.
GUAAAAAGAAGGAGGAUUUUUCACUUACUCAUACAGAGGCCAGUUUUUUUAAAGCCAACUAAGGUAGCAUCGGCUGUGCAGGAUUUCAAGCCUCUGCCUCAGCUGAAAAAGAAGGGGGUAGGGAAGGGAAGAUAAUAGGAGAGAAGCUGGAAGAAGAUAAGCAUCAUCUUAUUUUGCUAUGUGGUAGGAACUGCCUCUGAGAAAACAUAGCAUAGAAUUAUUUAUCUUGAACACUUGGUGCUUAAAGCAUAGGUAUUUUUCCGUC